Molecule: ribosomal RNA, 264 nt
Filed under: uncultured bacterium
Lineage: Bacteria
Description: partial 16S ribosomal RNA
Rfam family: Bacterial small subunit ribosomal RNA
Source: RNAcentral
GUCCACGCUGUAAACGAUGCACAUUCGGUGCUAGAGAGUAUCGACCCUCUUUAGUACCUAAGCUAACGCGGUAAAUGUGCCGCCUGGGGAGUACGGCCGCAAGGCUAAAACUCAAAGGAAUUGACGGGGACCCGCACAAGCGGUGGAGCAUGUGGUUUAAUUCGACGAUAAGCGAGGAACCUUACCAAGGCUUGACAUGUACCUGCAUACACUGGAAACAGUGUAGCCUUCGAGGGUGGUACACAGGUGCUGCACGGUCGUCGU